AUACGGAGGGUGCAAGCGUUACUCGGAAUCACUGGGCGUAAAGCGCGCGCAGGCGGUCUUUUAAGUUGGAUGUGAAAGCCUACGGCUCAACCGUUGAACUGCAUCCAAAACUAUUAGACUAGAGUGUGGGAGAGGAAGAUGGAAUUAGUUGUGUAGGGGUAAAAUCCGUAGAGAUAACUAGGAAUACCAAAAGCGAAGGCAAUCUUCUGGAACACUACUGACGCUGAGGCGCGAAAGCGUGGGGAGCAAACAGGAUUAGAAACCCCAGUAGUCC
This 274-nucleotide ribosomal RNA is filed under the name uncultured bacterium. RNAcentral's name for it is "partial 16S ribosomal RNA". It matches the Rfam family "Bacterial small subunit ribosomal RNA", at positions 523 to 796 of the family's 1533-position model. The record is from RNAcentral.